Molecule: long non-coding RNA, 2760 nt
Filed under: Equus asinus (donkey)
Lineage: Eukaryota; Metazoa; Chordata; Mammalia; Perissodactyla; Equidae
Description: lncRNA (ENSEASG00005033617.1)
Source: RNAcentral
AAUGGAGAAUAGGUCCACGUGACAGUUUGGCAGCUGCUCCUCUCCCCCCACCCCUCACAACCCUCCGCUUCUGAGGCUGCGCAGGGGGCGGAAGGGCUUAGAGUAGAGCCUUGAUUUUGCCGCCUCUUCCAGGAAGUCUUCCCAGACACUCAGCUGUAAAAGUGGAGGUUCAGGCCAGCUAAGACGGACGUCCUCCCAUAAAAUGAUGCUUCUCAGCGUGGCCAGCUUCACGGGCGUGCAACCGGCUUGGAAGGACCCCGCGCUUGGUUUAAUGGUCUGCUGUUACAGUCUUGAAGUUCUUAUAUUUUGAACAAGGGGCCCCACAUUUUCAUUUUGCCCUGGGCCUUGCAAAUUAUGUAGCCAGAUUUGCUUCUAAGAGUAUAAGAUCGGUUAUAUCCCCAGUUCUGGAAUUAUAAGGCUCUGGGUGGAAGAGUCUAUGAUUCGACCAGAACAGAAUCUAAGCAUCUUUUGUCUCCCCGAUGCUCGAGGCUUUGCGCUCACCGUUCUAGAUUCCAGGGGCCUUUGUUCUCCGUUCUAAGAGGCUUUGUUCUCAGCCUUCUGAGAUGCUCUGUUCUCAACGUUCUGUGGUCCUAAGAGUCUGAGCCUGACAUUGGUUUCCAAGGUUCCCUCCUCCCUCCUCUGGCUCCGCGAGCGGGGCUGGCGCCCCCUCAGGCGGCCAGCCUGUGUCACUACGCCGAGUGUGCGUCCCUACAAGCUUCAAGAUGUAGUGCCAAUAUUCAUACCCAUUUCUCAGACAGACCUUGACUCUUUAAAAGCCAGGGACCCGAAGAUCACGUGAGAAUGUCCCCAUUUUAUGACUUCCUGCGCACCAGGCGACCUCCCAGUCGUGAGCCAGAGAAGCAACGGCAGGGAUUGAGGGCAAAAAGAUUGCCUGGGGGUGAGCCGCAGCUCUGCCACUUUCCAGCUGUGUAACCUUGGGAAACUUGCUUAACCUCUCUGUGCCUCAAUUUCCUCAUCUGUGUAAUGGGGGUCAUAACACUGUCUGCCUCAUACAGUUGUUAUGAGGCGUAAAUGAGAGAUUUGUCACUUUGACACUUGGAGCAGUGUCUUCCAGGUAUAAAAAGCCACGAAAGGGUCUGGAAAAUAAGCACAAAUGAGUCUGGACUUUAGUAGGGACAAACUUUACUCAGUCUCCCUCUUGUUUAAGACAGAACUACACCGUCCUUAAACGGCCUUAAUUUUCCAACAAGGGAGAGAUGACACGGACUGACCCUGGGCGGAUAUGGAGAGCUCACUCUCCAACAAGAUUUUCUUAGUGUCUGCGGUGAUGUCAGGACUGGCUUUUCGUCCCUGCUGUUUGUGCAAGACCUGUUGAACCAUUUGAUGUGUAAAAUGUUGAAUCUGGAGCCGACUGAGGGCACCAGGCGUUUGAAGAUGAGUAUUCCUGGGAAGAGAAAUCCAAAGAGAACUAUUCAUGGUUGAAUAAGGGCCUAAAACCAAGAUCUGAGGCCAGACGGCAGCCAGUCGAGAGGGUUCCGAGAAGGAGGUGAGAAGAGAUCGUUGGUUGGUGGCGUCAGAACAGCGGUAGCAACUGGGCAGACCGCCUUGUCGGCUUCUCCAUCUUCUUGUUCGUGGUGAUAAUGUCUGAGUUCCUGAGGAACAGGCAGGAGCUGCUCCCAACCACAGCACACAAGUUCCUCCCCUGGAAGCCCCUUGCCUGGGUACAGACGUCGCCUGAAUAUGGUCGGAGGCCAUGUCAGAUCCUUGGAAUUUACUCCCAAGCAUCUGGCUUCUUAUUCACGCCUCCUUUAGAUCCUAAGGAAAAAAGAGAUCACAGUCAUCCCGGAUCUUGUGUCUGUGUGGUGAUUUUCAGCCCCCACACGAUUUGGCAGACCCCUUCGUCUGUGAGGACUUGGGGGUUUGAGAAGAGAGUGAAUUUUAUCGAUAGAAUGAAGGGGAAUCGAAACUCUGACAAGAUAACUGGAGCCCAUUCGGCUGGUGGACAGACACCAGUCUGCGAAACCUCCACACACAGAGUCUGCAUCCUUGGGGUCCAUCCAAGCCACAUAAAAAUAAUUGUCUUGUUUAUUUGAGCGGUCAGAAAACAAGUGUUGAUUAAAGGUGGAAAACCAAGAAGAAGCUGCGGGGGACAGGACUGGGCUAUGAGAUGAGUCAUAAGAGGAGUGAUGCCACUGAUCCCAAGAGAAAUUGUCAGCAGCAUCAGUUGACUUGAGUGACCCAGGCUGGGAUGUUAACAAAAUUAGUGGCCAAGAUAGAAGCCGUGUGAUUGUCAAGGACGAAGGCCUGAGGAGUCUUUCCAGACAUUUCCCAGUCUGGGUCUAUCACUGGAGACGGAUUCAACCCUCUGUCGUCUACACUCAUGGAUCUUGGACCAAUCCGUUUUAGAGGGAGCGGCAUUCAGGAUGGAGGCUAAGACGUUCCCCAACAGUACAGCUCGGGAUUUUGCCUGCGAGCUGCUCUGGCUCCUUUGGAGAGCCUCAUUGACAGGCUCACUCGGAGAUUUCAAAUCGAAGAGCUGCAGCUCCGGAACCGACCAGCAGGCGGACUCGUUGCUAUAAAUUGGGAAGUCCUGGACAGUUCCCGAUACCAGCCUAAAUUGGCCGCUAAAUACCGCCCUGUUUUUGCAGGGCGCAGGAAAGUCUUUAAUAUGGCGUGUGAGUCUGAGUGUGACCCAAGGUUUAAAGAGAACUCGUCCACGUGCAUGCUUGGAUGGCCCCCUCAGCUGUGGGGCCAAAAGUCUGGGUGACAACGGGAAGCUGGGGAGCUGGAGGGCAGGGG